GCUCGUCGUUGGACACGAUGACGGAGCGAUCCGCGUGUGGACGGUGCGAUCCGGAACAUUGCUCGCGUUUGUGCGACCGCACGAGGGGGCCGUGCACGCUCUCGCCACGUUAGACAACGUCGCUCUUCUGCUAAGUGCUUGCACAGAAGGAGUGCUCAAAGUUUUCGAUUUCGAAAAAUUAGCUAGACACGGCACGGAGGGAGGCGCGGGCCCAACGCCUUUGCUAUGGGAAGACGGGGCGCACGACUUGGGCGUGCUGUGCGCGACACCGCUGCAGCGCGGGGCGGCGACGGG
This 294-nucleotide unclassified non-coding RNA is filed under the name Melitaea cinxia (Glanville fritillary). Its description in RNAcentral is "misc RNA ENSMCXG00005016536.1". The record is from RNAcentral. Lineage: Eukaryota; Metazoa; Arthropoda; Insecta; Lepidoptera; Nymphalidae.